UCCCGGGAACGUAUUCACCGCGACAUGCUGAUUCACGAUUACUAGCAACUCCGGCUUCAUGCAGGCGAGUUGCAGCCUGCAAUCCGAACUGGGAUCGGUUUUUAAGAUUUGCUCCUCCUCGCGGUAUUGCUUCUCUUUGUACCGACCAUUGUAGCACGUGUGUUGCCCAAGGCAUAAAGGGCAUGAUGAUUUGACGUCAUCCCCACCUUCCUCUAAGUUAACCUUAGCAGUCCCUUUAGAGUGCUCAACUUAAUGUUAGCAACUAAAAGUAGGGGUUGCGCUCGUUGCAGGACUUAACCUAACAUCUCACGACACGAGCUGACGAC
This 326-nucleotide ribosomal RNA is filed under the name uncultured Eubacteriales bacterium. RNAcentral describes it as "uncultured Clostridiales bacterium partial 16S ribosomal RNA". The record is from RNAcentral. Lineage: Bacteria; Bacillati; Bacillota; Clostridia; Eubacteriales.